UAGCUCUAACCAGAUAGAGCAUCCCGAUUUAUAAUCGGGACGGUCAAAGGUUCGAAUCCUUU
Molecule: transfer RNA, 62 nt
Filed under: Chryseobacterium ureilyticum
Lineage: Bacteria; Pseudomonadati; Bacteroidota; Flavobacteriia; Flavobacteriales; Weeksellaceae
Description: tRNA_Ile_TAT
Rfam family: tRNA
About the family: Transfer RNA (tRNA) molecules are approximately 80 nucleotides in length.
Source: RNAcentral